UAUAUUUUCACACCACAUAUAAUUUAACUGUGGAACUGUUAAGAGGCUGGAACUAUAAACAGAGUCUUCUGAUGUAUUCAAUUAGAAAAAAAUAUUAUGAGGAAACUGAAGUCCAUGCAUGGCUAUUAAUACUAUGAUAUGCAUAAAACUUCUGAAUUAGGAAAUUCCUAAACAUCAAAUUACUGGAAAUUGGGAGACUAUCACUUGCCCACCUUCUGUUUCUGCCCUGCCAAGUGUUUUCCCAGAUAUCAUCUACUGGUUAUUCACUGUCAGAAAUCAGACAAUUUGGUGCACUGUCUUUUAGCUGCAGGUGGGCCAUACAGCAUUUGCACUGUCACACUGCUCCUCAGUGAUCUCAUUGACCAAGAAAAGAAGAUGGACAAAUAAAUUUCCCUGUAUGUGUUUGGCCAUCUGUUUGGAACCAGCAAGCUGGAAAAGAUCUGGGUUCUGUGGUCUGUCCACAACCAGCAAGGUUCCAGUGAUACUGCACAUUCUGGAUUCCUUUGGAGUCUUCAGAUACAGAUACGAAUUAUCCCCAGAAUUCCCAUAAAGCAGACUGCAACAUAUCACGGAUAAUUUCUGCCUGAAGCACUUUUAAUCUAGCAAGCAAGAGACACUUUGUCAAGUCAAGACAGCAAGAACAGAGAACAGGUGAUAGAAAACAAACACAAGAAAAUUAAUGUACAGAAAUAGUACAGUCUAGAAACAGCAGAUUUAAAACUGUGAGCUCUCAGACUGAUCUUUUCUUUGGGAUGAGCUUUGCCUAUUCUACUGCAUGUAACCUUUUCUGACCACACCUACUCUAAAAGUCUUGACCCUAACACGUUUCAAGUUAACUGACUACAGAUGGCAAAUGCUAAU
This 861-nucleotide long non-coding RNA is filed under the name Amazona collaria (yellow-billed parrot). Its description in RNAcentral is "lncRNA (ENSACOG00000006296.1)". The record is from RNAcentral. Lineage: Eukaryota; Metazoa; Chordata; Aves; Psittaciformes; Psittacidae.